UGCGCAUGCGGACAAAACCAAGGGGCCAGGCGCCCCUUCGCGCUUUACAGCUGUGAUGCGCAUGCGGACAAAACCAAGGGGCCAGGCGCCCCUUCGCGCUUUACAGCUGUGAUGCGCAUGCGGACAGGGCCACGGGGCCAGGCUCCCCCUUGCGCUUUGCAGCUGUGAUGCGCAUGUGGAGACGGGCACAGAGCCAGGCGCUGCAGGAGCUAAAGAAUUUUGCUAUGUAGUCCAGGCUGGCCUUGAGCUCUCAGCGAUCCUCCUGCCUCAACCUCCUGAGUUACUGGGGUUACAGGCGUUCCCCACCAUGCCCAGCUAUGUCUCCUGCUUACAACGACUGAAAUGUCUAGAGAAACACAAAGAACUGAGAACUCUGAAAAGCCAGCAAGAGCAGGUCGAUUGAGAAGAGAAGCAAAACUUGAAGUGGCUCCUAUAGGGCAAAGGCCAGGCUGGACACUGCUACCUCAACUGGAGUUUCUAGAACAAAGGCCAUCUAAACACGGUACUACCAGCCAGACGUGGUACUGCACAUCUGUAACCCCAGUACUUGAGAGGCUGAGGCAGGAGGAUCACUGCAAGCUGGAGGCCAGCCUGGAAUAUACAGUCAGUUCAAAGCCAGCCUGAAGUACAAAGGGAGACUCCACUCACAAAAACAAGUACUACCAAUCUACACUUUCCCGAGAAGAGUGACUGCUUAUUUCCCAUGUCCUUGUCAACAUUAGGGGUCAGCAAUUUUUCAAUCUCUACCAACAAUCUUCCUAAAACACUUUUUCAAAAAGCCCACACGGCCUUUAAUCCCAGCACUCGGGAGACUGAGGCAGAAGAAUCAUGAGUUUGAGGCCAGCAUGGACUACCUAGUGAGACCUUGUCUCAAAAAAAAAAAAAAAAAAGUUUUUUAAAAUACUUUCCCUGUUCUUGUGUUUUGUUUUGACCUUAAACCAACUGCCAUACUGUUGUUCUCAAUUUUUAGGACGUCAAACUGAUUUAUCUUAAUUCCAUGUUAAGUAUAAAAGAUUAGAACUCAAAACUGGUUUUAGUAUCACUUUUUCUCAUUUAUUUGGAAACAGGAAUUAUAAA
Non-coding RNA from Heterocephalus glaber (naked mole-rat), 1077 nucleotides. The record is from RefSeq and is a predicted model, not a curated record. Lineage: Eukaryota; Metazoa; Chordata; Mammalia; Rodentia; Bathyergidae.